This is a long non-coding RNA of Myxocyprinus asiaticus (Chinese sucker), 1814 nucleotides long. RefSeq lists it as uncharacterized. The transcript has 3 exons. NCBI's taxonomy places the organism in Eukaryota, Metazoa, Chordata, Actinopteri, Cypriniformes, Catostomidae. The record is from RefSeq and is a predicted model, not a curated record.
CGUAGGAUUGCGUUAUUUUUGUUUCCUCACCAGGGGUCAGUUCUUCGUACCUCGCUUAUUACAGCCGAGAUCAAACGACACAUCCAAGGUGACAUCAUCGUGCUAAUCAUGAUCUUCGAACACACCUGCUGUUUACGAUUAGUAUCGCUGGAUUGAGUUGUCUGGGAUAAUUUCGCGUUCAUGCGUUAGUUUAAAAGGGGAUAUGUAUCAGUAGUAGAAACCUUGAUCAGCAACGCUGCUAUUGGCUGCUCUCCAUGGCCAAAGAGUGCGCCCAGUUUUUCUCCGCAACAGAGCAAGAGCUAUUGCUCGAAGGUUAUGCGGAAUUUGAAGGUUUAAUUAAAACGCCAGGGAACACCUCAAAGUCUGCAUAAGCCAGGAGAGAGGGCUAGCAAAAAGUAGCAGACAAAUUAAAUGCAGCCACCACGGGACCCACUAGAACAGUGAAAUACAAGAAUAUUCUACAAAAUGGUAAUCUUUAUUACUUAUACUUUUUAGUAUCUUUUAAAAAGACACUGUUAAAUGAUGUGUUUGUUUAUAAACGCAACCAAGAAAAAGGCUGAGAGAAAAAAAAAGAAAAAAAAGUGGUAGUCCUGCACCCCCCAGUUAUACCCCAGCAGAAGACCUGGCCCUUGGGUUGAAUGUGAACUGACCCAUUGUGGAGGGCAUCCCUGGGGGCAGCUCUUCCUUCAACCCACAUCCAGGGACCAGUAGCAGAAACACCUUCAUUACUGUUUUACAUAAUACACAAACACUUUUACCUGUUCCCAAGCAAGUACUGGCUGAAGCAUGUGCAGUAAGUGGACUUCAAACUUUUUAGAUCAAAAGGGAAGAAAGCCCUCAAUAUCGAAGUGGUAUCAUACCACUUCGUAAUGCCCAUUUGUUUCCAUUGCACAGGACAGUGAAGAAACCCUCUCAGAUGGCUGUCCUUUAGAGGAAGUACAUGUAAGUGCAUAAAUAACUUGACUUAAUUUAUAUAUACACUCAUGUACCUAUUAUUUCUGACUGUUACAGGAGUCCACAUCAACGGAAAGGCCCACAGAAGAGUCUGCACAGAGCAAUGAUACAGAAGUGGGAGGUGUUGUACAGUGCAUCCAGAAAGUAUUCACAUGCACUGUUAACUGUGGGACCUUAUAUAGACAGGUGUGUGCCUUUCCAAAUCAAGUCCAAUCAACUGAAUUUACCACAGGUGGACUCCAGUCAAGUUGUAGAAACAUCUCAAGGAUGAUCAGUGGAAACAGGAUGCACCUGAGCUCAAUUUUGAGUGUCAUGGCAAAGGCUGUGAACUUAUGUACAUGGGAUUUUUUUCAUUUUUUUUUUUUUCAAACAAACUUCUUUCACAUUGUCAUUAUGGGGUAUUGCUUGUAGAAUUUUGAGGAAAAUAAUUAAUUUAAUCCAUUUUGGAAUAAGGCUGUAACAUAACAAAAUGUGGAAAAAGUGAAGCGUUGUGAAUACGUUCCGGAUGCACUGUACUUUUCCUUUUUAUUUUUGUUGCAUGAGGCAUGUAUUCAUUGUUUUGUUCACAAAUGGCACAGGGUGACAUCCAUUCCCUAUAUAAACUGAGUCUUCAACACAAAAUAGUGUUUUUCCCUGAAAAAAAAAACAAAAAGGGGAGAAAUAAAACUUGACCACUUGAAGAAGAAACUGGCACUAGAGAUAGAGCUGCUUCAAAAGGAACUUCAGACUAAGUGCUAAUACACCAUUUCACACAAAGUACUAUUAUUGACCUUUCAUAACAAUAUCUCUUAUUGCAGGCAAAAGAUGACAUUACUUUUCUUUACAAAGAAUAAUUGUAAUAAAACUCUCAAGGGACUAAG